GUUAGACUCUGGUUAUGAGCCCAUCACGGAGUGACCGUCUUGGUAUAUGAUACCAUCUGUGCAUCAUGAGGUUGUUACCAGGGAGAAGAAGCAGAAAUAAGAGAGAGAUGAGAAAGUCUCUAAAGUGGGAAUGGGGCAGAGCAUGAUGGGUCCAAGUAUAUCGGAGACUAGCACCUUAAAGCUUGGCAGCAGGCCAGAUGGCAAGACCUCAGAAGAGAAUGAAUUGUGGUGUGUCCAGACUGUGGAAUCCAAGCAGAGAUUUUUAUGUCCAGCCAUCUCCAUGAAUUGACGGCUCGUCUAUGAGUUGGCUGCCCUUGGGUCAAGUUCAAAAAGCUGUGGCUAGAGAGAGGCCAGAGUCCUGUGUACAGAAGAUGGCUUUCCCUCUCAAGAAAGUGCUUCCUUCAAAAGAGGCUGUACACAAGCAAAUGUCCUUCUCCCUCAGAAAAAACAAUGGGAAGGGACUCAGGAGGUUCAACCUGUGAACUCCCCAGGUAUCAAGUGACUGCUUUCGAGAUACAACCAUUCCCUUCUCAGCUUACUUCCAGAAUGUAUUUUCAGAGGGAAUGUCAUUUUUGAAGGUCUAUUGUUAACUGAAGACUCCUUGUCUUUUCAAAUUCCUUCAUGUGAAUGGAUGAGGCCAGACAUCUGCC
Long non-coding RNA from Lemur catta (Ring-tailed lemur), 650 nucleotides. RefSeq lists it as uncharacterized. Lineage: Eukaryota; Metazoa; Chordata; Mammalia; Primates; Lemuridae. The record is from RefSeq and is a predicted model, not a curated record. The transcript has 5 exons.